Molecule: long non-coding RNA, 1867 nt
Organism: Xiphophorus couchianus (Monterrey platyfish)
Lineage: Eukaryota; Metazoa; Chordata; Actinopteri; Cyprinodontiformes; Poeciliidae
Exons: 2
Source: RefSeq, a predicted model, not a curated record
GUUGGAAGCCUCCUCUCUCAAACACACAAAUCUGAGGGAGGUGGAGGCAGCAGAGCUUGCUUCACCGGCUGCCCAUUGAUCAGACUUAAAGGAUUCAGAGUAGAAACAAGGGGAGAGCAGAGAAAGGAUGAAGGGGGGGUAAGAUAGAAAGAGAGAAAGAUGCAAAUCCUGAAAUGAAGAGGCAAAUCCCAGCAGCUGUUGGUGGGGGAGAACCCCUGGGUUUACCAAUCUGGAUGAUGCUUAUUGGACAGAAGAUUUGACUCUGCAGGAGAGGAGAUGGAGAACUUCUGCAGCAUCCGUCCACCUAGGGCCAUUUUGAGUUGGAGAAAACAUUUUAAACACUGAAAAGCAAAGGAGAUAAAGAGGAAGUUAGCUCAUUUUCAACAUGUAUUUCUGGGUCAAAAGUCUUUAUAAAGGUUCAUUUUUUCCCCUGUGUAGACCAACUUAAGCAUCAUUAGCCAGCUGAGGUGCAGUUUAACUUUUUUAGUGAACAACACCAGGGGGCGCUGCUCUGCACUCACUGAACAUGCUGAAAUUGGAACAAAAUGCAUUGAGGUGCAACUGAUAACUUUUUUGUGCAGAUUAUGACACUCUGGGCAGAGAGCCAUUUUCUCCUUAUUAAAAACACUAAUAGAUUUGUUCUCUAUUUUUGAAAAAUGAAAUUGGAAGAAUGAGAACGUACUGCAAAGAAUUUUAUUCUUAAAACGUGUAAUGUUUUCUUUUUUAAAACUAGUUAAAAACUUACCAAAUCCUCCAUACUGAUGCUAAAAAGCCAAUGGCGGUUUUCUUGGGCGACAAAAAAAAAAAAGCCUUGGGAAAUUUGGCGUCGUUGCUUUGCAAAAUUCAGCAAGCAUAGCGCUACAGAUGCAUACAGUCAGGUUGCUUUAACAAGUCAGGAACAAUAUCCUCAUCCGGGGUUGUUGCAGGAAGUGUGAAAUCAGAUCUGUAUCACUCUUACUUGGAAAAAGCGACACCAGUAAAUAACUUUUUCAUGUGUGUUGCUGAGGAAGGAAAUUGGCAGGACAUAUGUAGGUGAAGGUGCAAAUAGGAAAUAGGUGUCUGGUUGUGUUUAAAAAGGAAACAAAAAAAAAUCUGUAUUCACAACUUUUACGAUUGUGUUUCUGUAAGAAAAAAAGACUGGCAGAAAUUGUUUUUGCAUCGUUACGAGCGCCACACGCCCUACUCGGCAGACUUACAUCAGCUUGAGGUCGUUUCCCUGCUCAUUAAAAUCUCCCCCGCCUGGACUGCGGCGCCCAAUCAGAGCGGCGGAGGAGCCAGAGGGUGCCCAGCGUUUGCUCAGUAGUCAGUGUAGAUCCUGUGGGGCUGGCAGCAGCUACAUCUGGCUACUGGGUCUCUGCUGACGACCAAUCCGGUCCCAGAAUCCAGGAUUGCCGCAGAUGUCUGGUUUCUCCUCACUUGGGACUAGUUCUGGACCUGGCAUACAGUGUAGGAUCCUGUGUGUGUCCGUCUACAGCUACAUUGUCUGCUGGGUUUCAGGCCUUUCCUCUGUCUACUUUAAAGUCACCUUUCAGAUGAAUACAUAAAAAUAAAAAAAAAGCAUGAAUAAAUUGACAAUUUUGUGUUUAUUGACUCAUAAAACAUUCUUCAAACAAUAAAACAAUUUUAAAUGUCUGUUUCUGUACAAUACUUGGUAAGCAACUUCAUUUAUAUUUAUAUAUAUAUAUUUAUUUAUAUUUAUAUAUAGAAAAUGUAAGAGGAGUUGUGUUAAAAUGACAAAACUCCUUCAAAUGUAAUGGCAGGUAUUCUGGAAAAAAAAAAUAACAGCAUUCCAUCGACAAAUAUUUUCAAGCAAUAAAUAUGUAUUUAUAAAUAGUGUAAAUUUACAUCAAGAUUAGAAACAUAAAAA